CUAAUCUGAUGUGAUUAAUCAAUGCCAAAUCUCUGAUGGCACAAAUCAAUUCCAAAUCUCUGAUGGCACUAACCAAUUCCAAAUCUCUGAUGGCACUAACCAAUUCCAAAUCUCUGAUGGCACUAAUCAAUUCCAAAUCCAUGAUGGCACUAAUCAAUGCCAAUUUUCUGAUGUGAUUAAUCAAUUUCAAUUCUCUGAUGUGAUUAAUCAAUGCCAAUUCUCUGAUGUCACUAAUCAAUUCCAAUUCUCCGAUGUGAUUAAUCAAUUCCAAUUCUCCGAUGUGAUUAAUCAAUGCCAAUUCUCUGAUUUGAUUAAUCAAUACGAAAUUUUUGAUGCGACUAUGCAAAGUGGGAAUUCAACACAAGUGCAGGUGGAGUCAAAGAAAAAACGAUUCCAGUGCUCGGAAUGCCCCAAAACUUUCGCCUUCAAAUCAGCUUUGAAGACGCAUAAUCUGACACACACUAAAGAAAAACCACACAAAUGUGAACAGUGCAACAUGGCUUUCCAGUACAAGUAUCAAGUGGCCAGUCAUUUCCGAACACACACUGAAGCAGUGCAUGUUUGCUAUACUUGUUUCCAAGCAUUCACUACUCUUGAGGAGUUAGUCAAACACAAUCAAAAUCAUAUACCAUUAAGAAAUGCGCCUUACGUUUGCACAGAAUGCGGAACAAAUUUUACAGACGAAUAUUCGUUUGAAACCCACAAAGUUAUUCAUGCCCUCUCAGAUGUACGUUUCACUGAAGACGAAGUUCUUCUUUAUGAAGAAAACAACAAAGCAUACAAAGACCUCAUGGAUCAUUUCAGUACACAUCUCUCUCCUUAGGCAGAGAUCGUUUUUGUUUUUUAAAAAUUUGCUUGGUUUUUGAUCUUUUAUUCAUACAAUAUGAUAUUUUUAAUGUUAUUCCUUUUUAUAAUCAUCUAUAUUUUAAACUAAACUUUGUUAAUUUUUAUAAAUUUUUAUUAAGCGAAAAUUCAAAUAUAUUUCGUGAACUUUUAUAAACGUUUUAAUACCGUUUACUUGCACAUGAUUUUCUGCAACGUUUUCACACCAACAACGGGUCGUUCGUUUGAAGAGAAUUGGCUUUUUCUUCUAGCGUUGUAACUGCGUAUUUUAGUUAAUAAUUUCCACAAGCAACUAUAUAAAACCAGCGUGUAUUGUGAAGAUUAAGCAUGAUUUUUAUCACUUUCCAUUUGUUAUUCCUGCAACGUUAUACAUGUAAAUGAUUCCGCUAAGACGAUACCCCCGAAAGGAAUCAAGAAAUACUACGCCUGAAAAGCCAUAUGAUAAGAAAUUAAAUCAUCCUACUGAGCAGCAGAACACUGAAGCAUUGUUGUAGACGACUUUCCAGCUACGUUGUAGGUACUACGCCAUUUUUUUUGUGCUCUUGAUUUUAUAUUAUAACAGAUAAAUUUGGGAGAUGCAGUUUUUCGCUCGUCAAGUCUCUAUCACAUCAGCAGACUCGGAAGUAGUCUCCAUACGAAGAAAGGAAGACCCCAGUUGUUGUGAGAAAUACAUUAGUCUUUUUUGCAAGAGAAUUUCAUUUGUUUUAGAGGAUAUUUUGCUUUUGAGACUUUAAAGAAUGUAAUAGAAUUAAGAAGUUCGUUAAUACAGGAUCUACUGAGCACUUACGCCGAAUUUUCAAAGACAUUAUGCAAUAUCUUCUGUAAUAUCGGUCUUUCCGGUUGGCACGAAAUGAUUGACCGCCUUUAUAACGAAAACAUCCUUUCUUGUAAAUAUAAAUUUUAACGUGAUGCCUGCAUUAAUUCAAUUGUAACACUAUUCUUCACUCUACCAGUAUUUGUAAGAAAGAAGUCAAAGUUCUACACUUGUCAUUGUUUAGACACGUGUCUUGCAACGACAUUAUCGAGUAAGCAGUUAAUUGAUGGAUCAUUCGCUAACAUUUCACUUCCUCCAAAUUAAAAGUAACAAGAAUGCAGAACUUUGCCAUGAGAAUUUAUGCCGAGGAAGUAGUCAAAUGGCAUCACUUGCAAUUACAGAACGAAAUCAAUGGCCAAGAGACGUCUUGUCAAGUAUUUUUCAGAGAAGAGAAUAUAUAGGAGAAACCUGUUCGUGAGUGACUGUUUGCAUUAAUAAAUCAGGUGGAGAAGGUAGACUGCAUAUGAAGAACACCUGCAGAAUUGCACUGAAGAACACUGCAGAUUGCAGAAAAAUAUUGCAUAUGAAGAACACUGUUGCAGAUUAGUGGCUUUCAAUCAGUGGCAACAACAGAACAAAGAGGAGUGAGUGCAUCAAACAAUAGCAGACAAUACCAGAAAACCAUCUUUAUGUGAAAAUACAUAUUUUAUCAACUUGUUAUAUAAUUGAUGACAUCUUUUAAUCGCGACAAUUUAAUUAGAACGUGUAAUUCUUCUGAUAUGGCAUGUAAAUUUAUAAUGUAUGUUUUUCAAAUUUAUUCUAUACCAUGUUCUUAUCUUGCAGUUGAAUAUCCUAUCU
This 2455-nucleotide long non-coding RNA is filed under the name Centruroides sculpturatus (bark scorpion). RNAcentral's name for it is "uncharacterized LOC111615334, transcript variant X2". The record is from RNAcentral. Lineage: Eukaryota; Metazoa; Arthropoda; Arachnida; Scorpiones; Buthidae.